UCAAAGUUAAUCCAAGGCAGUUUUGUGAUGUCUCAGAGAUGCAGGCAGAAAACUACAAAACUACUCAGAGUUGCAGGUACUCAAUCCCUAUUUUAACUAACAACAAAACAGUUGAUAAGAUCAUAAAAAACAAAGUCUCAACCAUCAUUUUAGAUGACAAAAGGAGUCACAUGUAAGAUUCUAGAACCCAUUCCAAAUAAUCUGACUAUUGUAAUGACUCCAUUUACAUUAAUGACACAUUUAGGUAAGGUUUAAGUUUUCAAAUUCUUUAUUCAAUAUGAUAAAUACAACUAUGGGACAAUAAGCAUAAUUGUAAAGAAACUUAACUGUUUUCACAUAAACCUUACAGUACAAUAAAACAACAGUAUUUACAAGCCACAAAAGCCUAGUAAAAAUCUAUUAAUGCAUUUAUGUUUAGUUUUCCUUUCCUUCUGAUAGCCAUGCAUGGAAUGGAAGAAUCUCACUAUUCUUUUAUACUAUUAUCCUUAAUCUCAAGAAAAGUAGACCAGUGAAAUAUCACCCAUCCUGUGGCGACCUUAGAACACUUAUUGCCCACAAUUCAAUUUUUAAUUUCAGAAAAAAAAAUUUACCAGCCUCAAUUGCAUUUCUUGCAGCAAGCCUGAAAUCAUUCACAAUUUGAGGGAUUUCAUCUGUCGUUAGCCGCCUUGGAGGAGUGAAUUGUGCAAUAUCAACACCAUUAGUGCGGAUUUGAGGUGUCAAUGGCUUGUCUGUACAGGAAAUUGGAGCUUGACCAUUUGGCUGAUAAUCUGUACAGUUCGACGACAGGAAAAACCAAUGAAGAUCCAGUUGAAAUGAUUCUCAAAUUUCUAUAAAAUCAGUCAGAUCCAUCACAUGGAGGUUGCAAAAAAACUAUUGAAUAUCAUUUUAUUAACUGAAAAUAAAAUGCAAAAGGAUGGUGCAUCUGUAGGAUGAUCAGUACUCAAUUUGAGCAUUUGAUUAAUCCGCGCUGCUUAUUCUCUCAACACUUGCCUCAUGUUAGAUUACUGUAAGUUACUGCAAUUCAAUAGCUUAAGUUCACGGUACCUUAUCUUAUUAUCAGAAAUAAAAUGUAUGUAUGAUCCUGAUAACUAAGUAACCAGUAACUGUCAAUAGAAGAGAGAGAUAUAGAACACACCUUGAUUUGAAACCCUGCCAACGUGCCCAAUCUGACAAAAGAAGAUCCCACCUUUGGCAUGAACAGCAUCUACAAUCGGUUUCCAUGCUUCAACUUGCUCCUUUGUCCAGAUACCAGGUGUAUCUGGAUACCUUACAAUAAAAGAAACAACAGAACACACAAGAUUUUCAAGCAACUAAAUACAGGUAAUGCUUUCGAAACUCAAACAUACAAUUUCUUAUCCAUUUAAUGCCUCAAAAAACUCUUAAAACAGUUAAACGGAUGUAAAAUUACCCUUGAGCAGUGUCGGAAACUCCAGUGGCUUCGGCUAUAAGCAAACCCCCUUUGGUGGUUCUUUGAGAGUAAUACAAAAUGGCAUGUGGCUGAGGAACAUUGUUGUAUGAUCUCUGUCUAGUCAGUGGUGCUAAAACAACUCUGAAAUAAACAAAACAAGCAAGCCGCAAUUCAAUUAGCCCCAUCACCAAUAACUCAAACUCAAAAGAAAAAAACCCAUAAAAUUGCAACAUUACACUUAAACUGCCUCUGUAACACUCUCAGUCAGAUCAUAGACCAAACGAACAAAUACAAAGAAGAUACAGAAACUAAAUCAGAUCAUACAUUCAAAUCAGUUAAGGGUAUUAUAAGUUAAUAACCGGGCGUGCUUCUGCUUAAUUACCAAAAAAGGACAGUUAAAAAGUGUUCCGUAAACACCAACAGUUUUACUCGAUAGCUACUGAUUCACUCCACAUAGAGACUGUGAAUUAAAAACCACAGUAACUAAAUCCCAAAUAUUUCCUAAUCCAUUCCAAAUAUUCACUAAUCCAUUCAUUCUAAAUGGACAAGGAUUCAGUGGUCCACUGCGUUUGCGCUGAGCCCUGGAUAAACAGUGAGAAUCUGAGUGCUCAUGAUGUGAAUGCUCGCCACUCAAAUGUACUUUGGCAGAUAUCACUUUCGUCAAUAAAGUUAACGCCAUACAAAAAUCCAUACAGCGAAAGAAAAUGUAAAUCCAAAAAAAUAAAAAUAAAAAACUCAAUGAAAUAAAAGGUGGGUACAAUCGGUACCUAUCAGAAAGAUUGAGACUGCCCAUAUUGUAAGGAGUGAGAAGAGGGAUGAUGGGAGUUUCAAUGGCCAUGUUACCGUUGUUCUCUUCUUGAUUUUGCUUAGCCUCCUCUGCUCUGUUUCCCAUGUUUAGUAGAAUUACAAGCAAAUUGAGAAUCCUUAACGCGACUGAAAAUAAAAUGAUUAAAGAAACGGAAGGGUUCAAUUGGGUAUUUAUAGACCGAAAUGGGUCGACCGUUUUGGAAUAUAAAAAAAUUCCACGAGGGGCGAAUCAGUCUCCAUUGCCAUUGGAUUCAAUGUUCACAUAUGUUUAAAAUGCUUUUAAUAGCUGGCACGUGACGUUUGCAAGUACGUAGCCGGCUGCUGUUGCCUGUCUUUGAACAACUAACCAAUAUGCUUUUAUUUUUAAUAAUGAGAUUCUAAGGGCUGUUUGGAAUUAUUGUUGAGAAGUUUAAAAAUAAUUUUUAAAAGUUAAUAGUUAAUUUUAGAUUUUGAUAAUUUUUUAAAAAUUAUUUUUGGUAAAUUUAUUUUAAUUUUAUAAUGGAUUUUAAAAAAUUGAGAAUAAGUAGUUUUUCAAAAUUUAAUUUAAGAAUCAAUUUUAUACCUAACAUAAUUUCAUACAUAUUCUCAAAUUUAUUAUAUAAAUCUAAAAUUAUCCUUUUUAAUUAGGAAAUAAAAUCAUUAACUUAAAAAAAAAUUAUUACUUCCCAUUAUAUUAAGAUAACAAAAAAAUUAAUAAUAUAAAAUAUUUAUUUUAGUUAUCAAUUAUCAUUUAUACAAAAUAAAAAUAUUUUAUAUACAUAUUUAUAAAUAUAUAAAUAAAAUCAAUUUAACAUUAAGUCUAGUUCAAUCGUUUACAUUCUUAUAGCAAUUUAGCAAUAAAACUUAGCACACAUACAAUUAUUUUUAAAACCCAUAAUACUUUUUAAAACGCAUAGUAUUUUAAAAGUUACAUUAUUAGUAGAAUAACCCUAAGUUAUUGUGCUGAUUGUACUGAUUGAUUGUAAUAAUUCUAUUUAAUGGAAUGAAAGUUUAGGGUGCCUAAAAAAUAUGUAUAAUUAAAUGAUUUAAAAAUCAAGUAGUACCAACAAAGAAAGUAAAAUAGAAUUAAAAAUUAUAUUUAAAGAAACAUGAAAUUGGUUUUAAUUAAGAAUAUCAAAACAUCAUAUAAUUGGAGUGACUUCAGCAAUGACAAAUUAAUCUAUAAUGUACUCAAACGGAAGUGAUCUGUCUUUGUCAAGACUCAAAAUAUUGAAAUUAGUUGAAGGGAUCUCUUCUUUAUUAGGAAAUUUUUUAUUAUUUCCCUAAAAUAAUUAUAAAAAAAAUUACUCCACAUGGAAAGUUUUUGUUAUAAUUUUUUAAUUAGUCGCUUUCCGCUUUCCCAAAUUUCCUUCGCCCAGUAAAAGUGCUACCUUGUCCCUUUCACUAGUGGUCUAUUUUCCAUAGUUAUUAUCUCAAUCAAGGUAAUUAGAUUUUAUUAUAAAUUUAUCAAACCUUUUUGCUCAUCAUAAUAUAUAGUUUCUGUUUUACUUAUUUAUAAGAUUUUUCAACAAGCGUAUAUUUUCAGCUGCGAAUCUCAGUGAAGACAUUACAAAACAUUAAAAUAGAAAAAUGAGUUCUUUUUAGAUUGUAAAGUUAUCUAUGUUAAAGAUAUAUUACAAAUACUACAUGACUAAAAUUUCAUUAUUGAUGAAUUCUAUAGUUUUAACUUUUAAGUCGCAAGUAUUUCUAUUUUUACACUAACGAGUCGUCUUUCUUAUAAUCUUUUCCAUUACAGAACCUAUAUAUUAAAGUUCUACACGUCAAUGCUAAAUUAAAAAAAAAAAAAGAUAAAAGAAAGAAAGAAACCACCCCAUGGUCAAUAAUCAAUAUUAUAAACUAUUAAAGAAAAUGAUGCAUCCCUCUUAAUUGAAACGAAAACAUGUCCAAGUUCAUCUUUGUCAUCAAAUGAACCGACAAAGUUAUCCAGGAAAUUACAAAUUUAACCAUAAGAAGUUGGAAUUAUAACCAUUAGACCACUCACUAUAAAAAUAAUAGCAUCGGAGUACUAUAUAUUGUGGGUCUUUAUGAUUUUUUAAUAAAAGAUUAACGUAUUUAUAAUUUUUAAUAAAAGAUUAAUGUAUUCGUAGUCUUUUAACCACCUCGUAAUCCUAAUUUAUUUUAUAUUUUUGUCGAAUUAAGACAAAAGGUUCUAUCGAACAUUUUGCAAACGAAAGGACUAUUGCAUCCAGUUUUUCAUGUUUGUGGUUGUUUUUGACAUUUAGCCAUAUCUCAAGUGUAUUGAAGCAUAUAUUUAUUCGACUUGAGUAGAGUUUUAUACUUAACAAAUAUUUUUUAAAAAAAUAUUAAAGCAAAUAUUUAUUCGUAUAUCAUCAUCAUGGUCGUCGUAGUUGUCAUUAUCAUCAUCAGUAAAAUAAUAAUAAUAAUAAUUUAUUAUAUCUUAAUAGUUUGUAAUUUUUUUUUAAUUUAUUUUAGAGAUAGAAUACAUACAAUUUUCUUUUUUGAAUUAUUAUGAUAUAUAUCAUAUAAAAGUAAAGAAUUUUGAAAUUUAAAAAUAAAUUAUGUUUGAAUGUUCACUUAGACAAAAUACAAAAAAAUAAUAAUAGGGACAUAUUGUGCUUUAAAGGCUUUGAAAUUCUUCUUUAAGUCUUGAAUUUCCGCAAUGACCAAAUAUAUUUCUGUUAGGCUGCCUUCUCUGUUGUUUAUCAAUUCUGGUACUUCAUGAGAAUUAGUUUCUAGGAUAACUGACUGUAGACCUGCUUCAUGUGCUAUUUUGAUGCCCUACUCAGCUGCUUCUACUUCCACAUAUGUUACAUCUCUCCUAAACCUUGAGGUUUUUAUAGCUGCAGCUAAGCACUUUCCAGUGGAGUCUAUGAUUAUUGCUCCCAAUCCCGAGCAUUGUCUUUUGGUGUCAGUAGUUGCAUUAACAUUUAUCUUUAGCCAUCCAUCGGGUGGAAGGGUCCAGGAUUUUGGUUUUUCCUUCUGCAUUUUUCCUAGAUUCAACAUCUCCGGAAAUUUUGUUCUUCUAAAAACUUCAUUGACUACUUCAGCUUUGGCCAUUUGCAAUCCUUGAUCCAACUUUACACCUUCAAAUACAAAUUUAUUCUGAGCAUGCCAAAUCACCCACCACAUUGACGCCACAAGCUCAAGUUCAGCUUUACUUAAUUUCUUCUGAAGCAUCAUCAAAUCCCCCAAGAGGUUUGCAUUUCUCAUCUAUUGAAUUGCAUUCACCAUUGAUGAAAGCUGCCAAACCUUUCUUGCUGCUUUGCAAGUGACCAUGGCGUGCAUAGUAUUUUCCACUCUAUUUCUACAAUGCUUGCAGUGACCUUCCUGAAUAAUUCUACGCUUCCACAAAUUAUCAGCUGUCGGUAGUAAGUUUUUAAUUACUUUCCAAAUGAAAAUCUUAAUCUUUUUUAGGAUGGUAAGGGUCUAUAUGAUAUUCCAAUUUCUGCCUUUACUGUUGGAGCAAUUUGGUGAAUUCAAAAAUUUCAUAUGUAUAGCCACUUGGUAUCCACUAUUGACCGAGUAUUUCCCCUUUCUGUCGUAAUGCCAGAUGGCUUGUCCUUUGCUUUGUCCUUUUGGCAAAGGAAUGCUGAGAAUUGCAUCUACAUCUUCCUUUAAAAACAUCUUUUGGAUCAAGUCAGUCUUCCAUCUGCUUUCAUUGUCUAUCAACUCUGAAACAAUAGCAUCGAAAGGCAUCCUUGGACUAGGAAACGGUUUGAAAAAGUGGAUGGUCUUGGAAUCCAAUUUCCUUUGUAGGCUAAGAUGUUUUACCCAUUACCAAUUCUCUAUCUAUAUCCAUUAAGAAUUACUUGUCGACCCCAAAGUAAGCUUCUCUAAAUAUAAGAUGGGUUUGGCCCCAUUGAAGCAUUUAGAAAAUCAGUCUUCUUGAAAAUACCUAGCCUUUAAAACAGUAGCUGCAAGGGAAUCUGGAUUUUGAAUCAAUCUCUAUCCUUGCUUAGCUACCAUGACUUGGUUAAAACUUGAUAUGUCUCUAAAGCCCAUUCCCCCUCAAAUUUUAGCUUGACUCAUCUUCUCCCCUCUGAUCCAAACGAUGCCCCUUUUUUUCCUUCUUUUUAUUGCUCACUAAAUAUCAUCACACAGACCAAUAGGUAUCUUGAAGACACUCAUUGCAUAAGCUGGUUGUGCCACUACUUUUAUCAGGACAUCUUUUCCUCAACUCGAGAAAAGUUUCUGUUGCCAACUAGAGAUCUUGCUCUAGACUUUUAGCUUAAUCUUAUUGAAGAAAAUUUUCUUUUUCCUCCUUAUCAUUGAGGGCAACCCCAAGUACUUCUUAUGCUUCGUUACCACAUUGAGCUGAAAUAUUCUUUUAAUGGCCGAAAUUUGGUUUGCACAGACACUGUCGCUGAAGAACAUGCAUGACUUUUCAAAAUUAAAAAUUUGGCCAGAGGUAGUGGCAUAGCAAUCGAACAAACCUUUUAAAUGCUGGAAAUCUUUAAUUGAGGCUUUGGAAAAAAAAUUAGGCUGUCAUAUGCAAAUAAGAGGUGAGAAAUAGAGAUAUGUUGUCCAAAUUUCAACCCAUGUAUUAACUUGCUUUUCUCAGCCUGAAUCAACAAAUUUGAAAGAGCAUCUGCAUAUAUUAUAAACAGAUAAGGAGAUAAAGGGCAUCCCUGCCUCAAGCCCCUUUUAGGAAUAAUCUUGCCAUUUGGUAUUCCAUUUAUGAUUAUAGAAAAGUAUGACGUAGUAAUGCAAUUCAUAAUUAAAUUUAUCAACUUCUUAGCAAAACCUAAUAUGAUCAUUGUCUCCUUUAAAAAAUCCCACUAUGCCCUAUCAUAAGCUUUGUUGAUAUCUAACUUCAGAGCCACCAAGCCAUUUUUUUUUUCCUUUGUUAUGCCUAAUCUUAUGGUGGCAUUCAUACUCAACAAUGAUAUUAUCCAUUAUCAAUCUGUUGGGGAUAGAACCACUCUACGAAGACUUAAUUACAACAUGUAGGAUAGUUUUCAAUCUAUUUGCAAUAGUUUUACAACAAUCCUAUAAAUGAAAUUACAAAGAUUUAUUGGUCUAAAUUCAGUCACUUUCCUAAGCUUUGCAUUAUUGGCAAUUAAAGCAAUGUAUGCGUGGUUCAAAGGAGCAAUGUUACUUGCUUCAUUGAGGAUGUGAAGACAUGUGGUGAUGUUAACUAAUGGCCAGUGCUUCAAAUAAAAGGCAGCCGGUAGCCCAUCAGGGCCUAGUGUCUUGGUUAGACACAUUUGAUUUAGAGCCUCCAUUAUCUUUUCCUCUGUAUAUGGUUGAGUCAGAUACUCAUUCAUUUAAGCUAAAACUUUUGAGACCAUUUCUUUCAAAGCACACUCCAUUUGAUCUUGAGUAGGGUUGGAAGUUGAAAAUAACUCUGCAAAGUAACUGCAGAACUCUUUCUCAAUAUCUUCAUUUUCUUCUACCCAUUUUCCCUAUGCAUCUUCAACUCCUCAAAUUUUGUUCUUCCUCUUUCUAGAUGAAGCUUUUGAGUGGAAGAAUUUGGUGCUUUUAUCUCCCUCCCUCAAUCAAUCAGCCCUAAACCUCUCUCUGUUUCCAAAAGAUCUCUUCAUCUAAAAGGAGGUUAUGGAUCUGCCUCUCAAUGCUUAUCAAUUCUUCACUCCUAUCCCACUGUCCUUCAUACUAGAGCUCUUAUAUUCUGUUCAUCAGCUUCUCUAAUUUCUUCUUGCUUCCUUUAAAAGUUUUCUUACUCCAGUGUAUUAAUUCAGUUAGUGAAGAUUUGCUGGCUUGUUUAAAAAGCUGCACUGCAUUAUCCCCUGACCAGUCUUUGGUCGAUUCUGCCUUUACAAUGUUCUUACACUCAUCAUAGUUGCUCCACAUGUCUUCAUAAUAGGUUCUUGAAAAGGUUAUUUUAUUAUAUGGCUUUCUAUUGGCUCUGCUUAUCACUUCCAUCAAAAUCGAAUUGUGGUCUGAGCACCAUAUAAUCAGAUUUUUUUGCAGCUUGGUUUUAGAAAGAAUUUGUCCAAUCAUUACUACAUAAAAAUCUAUCUAGACGUUUUUCAACAAAGUGGCUACCAAAUCUCCUAUUAGACCUGUAAAAGGGUGGCUUGUAUAACCCAAAUCUUUCAAAUUGUAAUCCUGAAUAUCAUCUCGAAACUCUUUAAUCAUAUGAACCUCCAUGUCUUUUCCUCCAUUUUUUUCAUCUAAGUGCAUUAUCUCAUUGAAAUUGCCAAAGCAUAACUAAAGGGGUGAAGAUAAACCUGUUAAUCUCCUUAAUAAAGCCCAGGUGUGUUUUUUCUGACUCGUUUCUAGGUGCCCGUAGAUUCUAGUGCAUCUCAUCUACUUCCCACUUUCAGUUCUACCUCAGUAUUUAUGCGGUGUUUACUGAAAGAGGUAAUAUCUACCCUUGUUGCUGAAUUCCAAAGCAUAGCUAGACCCCCAUUCUUACCACCUCUACUAACCCAAAAAUAAUUUUCAAACUUCAGCUUCUUGCCAACAUUUUCCAUGUGUACAGAUGUCAAUUUAGUUUCACAUAGAAACAUUAAUUGAGGCGUAUACCAUGUGAGGAAUUUUUGGAGAACUAUGAACGUCCGGUCAUUCCCCAUCCCCUGGACAUUCCAGCUUAGAAUCCUCAUAGCUGUCGGCAGGGUUGGUGUUCUGCCUCCGCCGAUUGAGUUGCAUUGUUUGUGUUUUUAACAUUUUCUCCAUUCUUGAAACAACCCAGUUGAGCUUAUAGCUAAGAGGAGAUGUAUUGCAGGAGCUUUCUCUAACUAUUGAGUUUUUCUGUGGGCUUAGGAUUUGGGUUUUUUUUUUUUAUGAUUUGGGCUUGACCUUAUUACUCCACAACCUAGUCUUUUUCCCACAAUUAGCCCUUCUUUUGUGUGUCCUUUGCUACUUACACUUCUAGCUGGCAGCUUUCACUUCUUUCUCUUAGGCCUAGCAUUUUUUGUUUUCGGUCCAUCACAUACUACUUCUCUGGGCUUGAGUUGCUUUGAUAUUUUUUUGGGCUUGUAUUUAGAGUUAAUUUUGGCUUCAAAUUUAGCACCAAAUUUAACUUUAUUCCCUCUCAAUUCUCUGUUCCCACUUUUUCUCUCUUUUUUCCAUGAUUGUUUAAGUUGUCGGCUGUAUUUUCGGUAUCAGCCAUGUUAGGUUACUUUUGACCGUGUCUUUCUGAUUUCUUGGUUCUAGAGUCAUUUGUAUUAAUUACUCCCCAAUUUUCCUUGUUUAACUAUCAUGAUCUCCCCGAAAUAGAUUAGUUUGACUCGAGUUCAUGUUUAUACGGGUCUAAACCAAUUUGUUUUGCCUGUCUUCUCCCAUGGUGUUCUGCUUCCUUUGGUUCGUUUUUGAGCUGCUCAAACCUUUUAUUCCAUCUAUCUUUUCCCAUGUUCAUCCUAGUUUUUUCAACUUUGGACAAUGCCUUCAUGUACACUCCAUAGGGUAAUUUUUUUUUUUUGGUUGCCCCAUGUAUGAUUCACACUCUUUAAAUUGGUACCAAACGGUACCCCAGCAAAAGCAGAAAUCUGGGAGCCGUUCAUACAAUACUGGCAACUCCACCUUAUCAUCUUCUUCUAGCUCCAACCAUUUUCUGUAAUGGCUUUGUGAUGUCAAUGGAUAUUCUGACUCUUGCAUACAAACCAAUACACUCCCUGUCAUCAUCAUUUUCAACUUCCAACACCUCUCCAAUCAGUCCUCCCAGCUUUUGAACAUUGUCUCUCUCUAUGCAAACAAUGGGUAUAUUGUGAAUUCAUACCCAAAAAAGUGUAUGCGUGAAUUCUUCCUUUCUCAUGUUUCCUAUUCCACUGGGUUCUUUCAACACAAUCAAAGCCCUAUCGAAAUGACAUGGCUCUCCUGCCAUUAUUUUCUGUUUAUCAACUUCUAACCCAAAUUUGAACCGAAAAAUAUUGUUUCUCAUGCUCUCAAUCUUCACCUUUUUUGUUGUUUUCCAUGCUUGUGUUAAUGCAGUUUUGAUCACAUCCGUGUGGACACUCUUUGCCAAUAGAAUUUUUCCAACUAGAGAAUUUUCCAUUAUACGUCCUCUUUUUCCUUGCAUUCCGCUUCUAAUUGAUAGCUUUCGUUCACUGCCAUCUCAUAUAAAAAUAGCUUUGCAUUUACAUAUUAACUCAUCUGUGUCCAUAGAUGACGAACAACAAGUUUGCUCUUUACCUGCUAACUACCCUGUGUUUGAAUCUCGGAGUUUUACUCACUCUCACCCACUCUCUUAAAUGAACUCCCUCGAUUUUUAACUUCCUUGAUAAUUUUAAAUAAAAGACACUCAAUCUAAAAGACAUUGAAUUUGCAAAGUUUCAAUGGAAAUAUAUGUCUCUUCUUGCCAUUCUUUGCCCUCUCAACAUCGAAAAAAUUUCAUUUUAUUAGUUUUACUUUUAUGAAGAAUUUGAGUGUUCCAAAAGUAGUCAUGGCAAAUCCAACCUUUCCCACUUGUAAUCAAGCAUUUGAGUAUUAUCAUAACUUGUUUUGGAGGUAUAAGUGUUGCCGUGAAAGAUGCUAUAGGUAGCUUGCUUUGGAUUUCACUUCAUGCAAAAAUGGUCUUAAUCGAAUCAGAAACUCAUAUAGGUCUUAUUUCAUAUUAAGGUGUUCCAACUUUUAAAUUAUAGUUGUUGUAUGAAUGGUCUUAGUAAUAUGUAGUAAAAAAAAAUUUAAAAAUUUUUUUUAACAAAAUUAGUAAAUAUAUAUAAUAAAUUUUUUUAUCAUACAAGUAUAAAAUCAAAUUAACUUAGUUUCUAAGUUACAACAGCUAGUGCUUACUAGCUUUUAAGUUACAGUUGCUCAACCUCAAACCCCAAACUAGACCAUAAUUGGAAAGUACUUGACAAAUGUAUGCAACUUACUGUGCUUGUACACAAGUUCAAUUUAACAUUUCAGUAAUGUGCACGCAAAUAAAGGUUGCUCUAACUUGCUGCAAAUAAUGUAAGUUAAAAUUACAAAAGAGUGUAUUAUGCUAAAGGAUAUUCAUAAUUUUUUUAAGAAAUCAAGUUACUCUAAUUCACAUCCUUUUUUUUAAGGAUUUGCAUUCGAAUGAAAGCAUGAACGAAACAAGUAAUGGUGAGCUGGCUAUCUUCAGAAAUAAUCAUAUAUAUAAAUUUUAUUUUAUAAAAUUUUGCCAUAUUGCAAUAAUUAUAUAUUGAAGGGUCUUCAUUUGUAUAUAACACUAGGUGUUAGGUAUGUUUGCUUAUUGGUAUUUCUUUGACAAAAAUAUGUGAUAGUGCCCUUAGAAACACAGGUACAUAAUCAUCGAAAAAUCAAGUUUUCUUAAAAUUUAUGUGGAUGAUUAAUGAUGUAUCUUUUUUUAUCAGGUAUUUAAUUCAUUUGUAUAUGCAAAGGCCAUAUCUAUAAAUCAAGAUAAAUAUUUACGAGAAACAAAAAUGAAAGUGAAACAGAAUUAAAUUCAAGUUGUCCAACGAGAUAAAUAAUGAGUCCUAAUUCUCUUAUUCAUAUUUCCCUUAGAAACCCGGAUACUUCAUUAUAUAUUUCCAUCAGCCCAUAUAUUUCUUAGAUAUGAUUUUUUUUUCACUUCUUCAAAAGGAGCUACAUGUUUCUUACUUUGCAAAGGAUCCUGGCACAGAACGAGCAAGCUUGUGUGGACAUCCCUGACUGUUGGUAGGGAAAUUUAUGCCAAAAUGGGGAAACUGCAGAAUGGAUUGCAAGUGAUUCUAUUGUACUAGUUACCAAAAUAGGAUACUUAUGACAGCGGUUGCUGAUUUUUCCACGUGUUCAUAUUUCUUCCAAUAUAACCCAAGUAGUUCAUAACAUUGUAUAUAAUGAUGUAGUUCGACAAGUGUUGCGUAAGAAUCACAACAAUGCAAUUGCAUCCAUAUUGAAUAGGGGUGGGCACAAUUGGGUUUGAAUCAAUCCAAUCGGAUUUCGAGUUAGUUGGAUUGAGAAAAAAGUUAUUCAAACUCAAUCCGAACUGGAAUAUGAUCUAAUCUAAUCCGUAUGUAUUCGGAUUAGAUCAAAAGUUCGGGUUUAGUUCAAGUUGACUGAGCUAGGAUUAUAAACGGAUCGAAUUGUGUUCGGUUUAAAAUUGGACUUGGGUCGAUUCGAGUCAUGGGCAAUUUUGAGCUUUUAUUUUGUAUAUUUUGAGUUUUCUUUACAAAUUAUGUAGUUACUAGAAAAUUAUUUUCAUAUAAUUAUCUCAUUUUAGUCUGUUUUUACCAAUUCUAAAAAAAAAAUGAAAACUACUAGUCUACUACCAUUAAAAUCAAAUGUAUACAAAUUAAAAUAAACACAAAUUCUAAAUUUAAUAGCCUCCACCCAAAGCACGAUAUUCAAAUAUAAAUAGCCUUCAAAACACAAAGAUCACAAAGUUUAAAUAUAAUUAAAUAGUUUCCAAUACAAAGUCUAAAAAUAAAUUGUUUCUUAAACAACAAAAUCUAAACAUAAAUAUUAAAUAACCUUCCUUCACGUAAAUAUUUGGACAAGUUCUAACUUCAACUUCUUGUAUUCGAAGUUGGAGGAUGGAUCGCCUAGAGAAGAAUUGAAGAGAAAAAGUAAAUUAAAAAAUUACAAAUUUAUGCAAAGAUAUUGAUUUACUUUUCUUUUCUUUUCUUUUUUGCUAUUGGUGAAUUUGAAUGCAACUGUUGGAACUUGGAAUAUAGAUCAUUCAUGUAUGUAUCAAACAAAUAAUUGAACCACUUGUCAUCCACUCAUCCUAUCGUUUAGCCAAAACCAUGUUACUUGCAAUUCCUUCACCAUCCUCAACUAUCAACUUCUGCUGAUUUUCAUCUUGUUGUUGUUGGAAUGUCUUGUAUAUGUUAUAAAUUUUUAUAUUAUUUCUCAGAUUGGUAAUCUCCUCAUGCCUUGAAUGGCAUUGAUAGUGUUUACCACAAUAGUUGCACUAGCAUUUGUUUGAAUUGUCCUUAAAUAAAGUGAGAUGAUUCCACAUUAGAAAUCUUUUUUUUCAUUUGCUGUAUUUUUCGCCUGCUUCGCCUUUUCCCUCCCUUUUUGAUUUCCUUUUAGUUGUUCACUUUGUUCCUCAUCAUCAAUUGUGAAAUUUAAUCUUGAGUGUCUAGUCACUUGAACAUACAAAAAAAUGAAUAGUCAUCAUUAAUUCAAAACAUAAAACUAUUAAAAUAUCACCACAACACUCACAAUCUCAAACAUCCUCAGUACAUUUAAAAAUGAGUGCUGCUAUUUACCCCGAAUUUGCACCCCGAAAUCAAAACGCACCGUUUGCUCUGAGUUAAUCACGGGUCCAUUAUCUUGCUUUAUAUAAAGGAAAGGAAAAAGCUGGGGAAAGAAAAAGCAAAAGCAAAGUUGUUUCUUCACGUGUUUCUUCAGUCAACGUGUGGGCCUAACUAGAAAAUUUGUUGUGUCCAGCUGUGGUCUGCUAAUUUUACUUUGCUUUGCUAUUUUUUUCAUUCUUUGUUAUUUCCUUCUUUGUAUCAGAUGAUGAUACAUGCAUCAAACACAAUAACGAAAAUUGAACGAGAGUAAGAGAACGAACCAUCGAUCAAGAGUUGAGGGAAGAGGGGAAAAAAAGAGAUUGAAUUAAGAUGCAAGUGGCGUGGUUGAGUGGAUUUGAAACCAAAAAUGGAAUGAAAUCCUCCUGACUUAACAAACGAAUCUGCCUGAAGAAAAAGAGUGCUGCUAACUGGAAAGAGAAAUGGAAAGUGAAAGCAAAAUGUUUACCUUGCUUUACGGGCCUAACUAGAGAAGUGGAAAGUGAAAGCAAGGAAGUAGAAAGUGAAGGCAAAAUGAAGCAACACGUGUAGAGAGAAAAAAGUAAACGGUGUGUUUUGAUUUCGGGGCGUAGAUUCGAGGAGCAAAUUCGGGAUAAAUAGCUUUUCCUUUAAAAAUCACAAAUAAUAAUAAGACUAGGAUAAUUGUGCUAAAAAUAAUUAACAAUACAAUUUCAAUUAAUAAAUUAAUUAGUCUCAAUCUAAGCAAAAAACAAUGAAACGGAAUUUUACAUGAUGAUUAUUUAGGAAUAAAAUUUUAACAUACAUUUUCUUAUAUAAAUUUAUAGGGUUUGAUUUGUAUUGAAAUUAAAAUUAAAAAAUAUGAUCUCUAUACUCCUAUUCACUAAAUUACUAAUUCUAACUAAAAUCAUGGAUAAAUUGUGACUUUUUCUUGCUGAGUAGUCUUAUUAAGCAUACAAAAAUCAUUGAACUUGAAAAGUUAUAAACGUAAUAGAAAUUUGGAAAUUAAUUAUUUAAUAUAAUAUAUAUAGUAUAGUAAUGUUCAUUGAAAAAAGUAAGUUGGAGGAACUUAAUGGCUAUCGAUCAAGGUGGAGCAAGUUGCAGCAGUGGUCAUGGUGUAUUGUGUCAGCAUGUCAUAGACUCACGAUGGCCUGGCUUCAUGCAGUUGCGUUGGUGAGUCAGUGACUACUGUUGUGUGUGUGUUGUCUGGUGAGUCUACUGUGUUGUGUAUCUUGUCAUGCAAACUGCUAUGCCAAUUACUAUGCUGCCACUGAUUUGUAGGUAUGCAUGAAUGCUUAGUACAUGUGUGGUGCUUUUUUUUUAAAAAAAAGAAAGUAAACCUUUCACAAAUCACAAUACAUCAAAUACAACUUGAAUCUUAGUUGGGAUAGUUCCUAACCAGAUAGAAGAAGAGUUUCUCCCCAAAGCUAACUUAACUAAGGAAUGGGCAUAAGCAUUACAUUAUCUUGGAGUAUGAUGGACUGAAACUUUAUGAAAAUCCUUCAACUAAUUUUGGAUCUCUAGAAUUGUCCAAAAUUUUUUUGUUUUGCUACCCUUAGUGUUGUUUACUAACUGGACCAACUCUAAGCAAUCUGACUCAAUGAUCAAGGAGGCUAAAUUUGCUUCUCUCGACACUUGAAUUCCACAUAACAUAGCCUCGGCCUCUACAUUACUUACCGUUCCCUUUAGAGAAGAUUGAUUGAUGCCAGCUGCAAUUACCUUGCCGUUUGUUCCUCUGAUGACUACUCUCACUCAUGUAGUCUGAUCCUUGGCAUUAAUGGCAGCGUCGACAUUAACUUUGAAGACAUUUUCGGGGAGGGGGGGGAAUCCACUUCUGCAGCUUCUCUCCACUGGAGUAGGCAAUAUGAGAGGGGUAUGUCUUCCUUACUCUUUGAAAUGCAUCCAAAAUAGACUUUGCCUUUGCAGUUGAGAUAUUGAGGGCUAUCUUCUUGCCUUCGAAAAUAAAUUUGUUUCUAGAAAACCAGACAGCCCAACACAAAGCUACCAUUAAUUCCAAAUCAGCUUUCCUUAACUCAUUGGCCAUUCCUUGCAAAAUGCUAAAAAUGUCCUGAGAAUGAUCUUUAAAGCUUGGAACUGUAAAGGGAGAUUGUAGCCAGAUCGAUUUUGCUGCCUUGUACUCCAAUAAGGCGUGGCUUAUAGAUUCUAUGCUCUUUCUACAUAUUUGACAAGUUGGCUCUUGAAUGACUUUUCUUUUCCACAUAUUUUCUGUUGAUGGGAGCAAAUUGUUUGAUGCCCUCCACAUGAAUAUUUUUAUUUUUUCAGGUAGCUCCAGGGACCAAAGGGCACUCCAAUACUGAGACAUGCUCUCUAAGCUACUAGGAGCAUUUGGAAAUUUCAUUCUUAAGGCUAGCUGGUACCCACUUUUGACCGAGUAUUCUCCCCUUUUAUCAUAAUGCCAUAAAACAUCAUCAUCCAAAUGUUCUUUUGGGAGAGGAAUCUUAAGAAUCAUUGCUGCAUCUACUUUCAUAAAGUGUUAGUUCAAAUUGUCUUCAUCCCAAUGGUUAUCUUCCUUAUUUAGGUUUGCCACCACUAUGUCUGCUCGCAAAGUAGGGGGGCGAUUGGCUUGAACGUAUCCGGCCUUGGCAGCCAAUUAUCCUUGUAAACAUAUAUGUUCUUGCCAUUGCCCACCCGCCAUCUAAAACCUUUCUUGAUUACUUCUCUGCCCCAAAGAAUGCUUUUCCAGAUGAAUGAAGCAUUGGACCCUACUGAUGCACCUAGAAAGCUGGAGUUCUUGUAAUAUCUUGCUUGAAGGACUCUUGAGACCAGAGAAUUUGGGUACUGCAAAAACCUCCAAGCUUGCUUUGCCACCAAGGCUUAGUUAAAGCUAGUAAAAUCCCGAAAUCCCAUCCCACCUCUGUUUUUUGCAUGGCUGAGCUUUUCCCAUUUUAACCAAUGGAUACCUUGCUUAACUUCCUUCGUUCCCCACCAAAACUUCGCUAUAGCCCGUUGAAUGUCAUCACAAAGACCUCUCGGAAGCUUGAACACACUCAUUGCGUAAGCUGGGAUAGCUUGGGCUGCCGCUUUAAUAAAGAUUUCCUUACCCCCACUCGAAAACCUUUUAUGCUGCCACCAUGUGAUCUUGUUUAAAACUUUUAGCUGCUGCCACCAUGUGAUCUUGUUUAAAACUUUUAGCUUUACUUCAUCGAAAAAGCUUAGCUUCUUUCUUCCUAUCAUUGAGGGGAGGCCUAAGUAUUUUUCAUGCUUGGAGACCACAUUUAACUUGAAAAUGUCUUUAAUAGCAGUUGGAUUGUUGUCGAAAAUCUCCUUCAGAUGCUUACAAUCAGCCACUGAAGCACGAUAAAAAACUAGGUUAUCAUUCGCAAAUAGCAAGUGGGUAAUUGAGACUUCUUUUGCAAAUUUCAGACCUUGGAUUAGCUGAUUCUUUUCCGCCUUCACCAGCAUAUUGGAGAACGCCUCAGCACAGAUGAUAAAGAGAUAUGGAGAUAGCGGGCAGCCCUGCCUCAGACCUCUUUCCGGCUGAAUCAUUCCCUUUGGCACACCAUUAAUAAUCACCGAGAGUGAGGCAGUAGAGACACACCUCAUAAUCAAAUCCACCCAAUUAGGUGAGAAACCCAGCCUUAACAAUGUUUGAUUAAAAAAAGACCACUCAAGUCUAUCAUACGCCUUACUAAUAUCUAGCUUAAGAGCCACAAGAUCGUUCCUCUUCCAUUUACAGUGUCUUAUCUUAUAGAGGCAUUCAUAACCAAUAAUAACGAUGUCUAUAAUGAGUUUAUUGGUUAUAAAUGCACUCUGCAUUGGAGAAAUGAUUUGGGAGAGGAUCAGUUUCAUUCUAUUUGCAAUAGCCUUAACUACGACUUUAUAAAUUACAUUACAAAGGCUUAUGGGCCUGUAAUCAGAGACUCUCCCAGGCUUAGCAAUUGUAGGGAUCAAGGCGAUAAAAGUAUGGUUAAGAGGAGACGGGUUACCUUGCUCAUUAAGGAUAUGAAGACAUGUUGUAACAACUCUAUUGCGAAUUAAUUUCCAAUGCUUCUGAAAAAAUACAGCAGUUAAGCCAUUUGGACCUGAGGCUUUUGUGGGGCACAUAUGUCCUAGCCUCCUCUAUAUCCUUUGGAGUGAAGGGCUUCUCCAGCUGGGCAUUCAUUUCUGAUGUUACUUUUGUCGGCAUUCCUUGAAGAGCAGCUUGAAUUUGGCUUGGAGUUGGGCUGGAUGUAGUGAAGAGUUCUUAAAAGUAACAGCAGAAUUCCUUUUCUAUAUCAUCUAUCUCCCUUAGCCAGACGCCUUGAGAGUUUUCUACCCCCCACACCUUAUUCUUUUUUUUACGGGCAGAAGUCUUGGCAUGGAAAAACUUAGUGUUUUUGUCUCUUUCUCUUAGCCAGUCAGCCCGCGAUCGUUGCUUCCAAUAGAUCUCCUCGUCAAUAAGCAUGGAAUUGAUAUAGCUUUCAAUCUUCCUGAUCUCCUCUCCAUCAGUCAGUUUAGAGCUUCCUUGCAUAGCAUUCUGAAGGCUCUGAAACAACUUUUCUUGUUUUCUUUGUCUUCCUUCAAAUUCGUUUUUACUCCAAAGUUUAAGCUAAGCUAAAGACUUUUUUGCUAUCCACUGAAAUUGGUGAGCAGGAUCCUCCCAAGCUCUAGCCCCAUAGUUUCCCCACUCAUCCUUUACUAUGCUCCUACAGUCUUCGUAAGAACUCCACAUAUCCUCAUAGUGGUCACGGGGAAACGAUCUGCUCACAGUCCUCGACUUCUUGCAUCUCUAUUUGAAUUCUAAGACUAUUGGGCAGUGAUUUGAGACCCAAUUAACAAGGUUUAUGGCUGUAGAGUCUUAAAAUUUGUUGCCUCAAUCCUUACUACACAAGAAUCUGUCCAGCCAUUUUUCUAUGUAAUUAGAACCAAAUCUCUUAUUAGACCAUGUAUACGGGUACCCCUUGCAGCCCACAACCUCUCUAAACUCGACAACCACAUUUACAUUCUUCUCGUUGCUCCCAUUUUUCUCAAACAUAUGCAUCACUUCAUUGAAAUCCCCAAAGCAACACCAAUGGUGGGACGAAAGAUUAGCUAACCUUUUUAGAAGGGUCCAUGUGCUGCGCUUCUAGCUGAGCUCUAGGUGGCCAUAAAUCCCCGCACAUCUCCAAACCAAGCCACUUUCACUACUCACUAUUGCAUCUAUAUGGUGGGGCCUGUAUGAGGUGAUAUUGACAUUAAUGUCUGCUCCCCAGAGCAUAGCUAGGCCUCCACCCAAACCAUUUCUGUCCACAGCAAAACAAUUUACAAAAUUAAAACUUCUGUAAAUUAAAUUGACCUACCUAGCCAUCAUCUUAGUUUCACAACAAAAUAGUAUUUGGAGCCGGUGCAGUUAUAGAACUUUUCUAAUUGCUAAGUGCGUUUGAGGCUUCCUCAGACCUCGAACGUUCUAGCUGAGGAUCUUUAUGGUUGUCGGCGAGGCUGAUCAUCAGUACCCGCCAAUAGGUCUUCAUCCAUUGCUUCCAAGUUUUCCCCUGCAUCUAGCACUUAUUCUGCUUGCUUCAGCUAGCGAGCUACUUUGUUGGGGCUAAAAUGGUUGCAGUUGCCUAAUGCUUUUGCUAGGCUUAUGUGUUUUCCUUCCUACAGUUGCUUUUUUGGACUGGACACUCACUUCUUUUUGCUCUCUGGGCUAGGCCCAUGACCUUCACUGUUGUGUCUUUUACUUCCUAUGAAAGUAAUAUUAUUUGCUCCUUCUCCUUUGGUGUUUCUUGCCCGUAAUUUCCAUUUUCUUCCUUUGGAUUUCACGGUGGCCUUGCUGGCCCCAUCAUCCAAAUCCUCUUCAUCUGAUCUGGCACCCCAUGUGUCCUCCUCCAUUUUAUUUUCCAUCUUCCCCACAUUAUCUUUUUCUACAAGAUUUUCAUUUUCCCUCCAAUCCUUCUUUUCUGCCUUUUUUUGCGUUCAUAUCUAGAUUGGCACCACCCUGCAAGAUUUUCAUUUUCAUUACUAGUCACUCUGUCCUGCAACUUGUUGAUGUCACCACCCUGCUUUAAUGCACCACUUGCUGGUUUUCCUGCUAUGUUACACUCAACAUUAGAUGCUGCCCAUCAGCUCUUGGUUCCUUGUUUUUACCCACUGGUUCAUCACCAUUAUCUAUCUCCGGACCCGAUUCGAUCAGGUAAGACCCAUUUUGACUAUCCGAGUUGUUUUGAGACUGGUAUGGCCUUAGGCUAGUUGUUGCUGAAUCAUUUGCUCUGGAAUGGAAUUGUUCUCAAUUGCCUUUCCCUUUACUUCGAUUUUGUUUUACCCUUUCAGCCUGAGUGACUGCUCUCAUCCAUCCCCGUAAGGCAGAUCCUCCUUUUGUUGUCCUUUGUACCUCAGGCACUCUCUGUACUGAUGACCUACAUGCGCGCAACAAAAGCAAAAGUCCGGUAGCUUUUCAUACAGGAUUGGCAUUGGAAUUUUUCCUUCAUCUUGUUGUAAAAACACAAUCUUUUUUAAUGGCUGAGUAAUGUCAAGGGAGAUUCUUACUCGAGCAAAUUGUCCUAUGCAAUCCCCGGCUUCGUCUGUCUCUAUUUUCUUGACCUCACUAAUCUUUUCACCUAGUUUUUCAAUUGCCUCCUUGUUCAUGCACAUUAUGAGUAUAUUUUGGAUCUGCACCCAAAAUGUUGUAUGCGUAAAGAAUUGAUUUUUGAUAUCACCAAUGUCGGAUGGUUCGAUCAAAACUAUCAGUGCUCUGUCAAAAUGCCAUGGCCUUCCUAUAAGCAGUCUUUUCUUUUCUUAUUCUGAAGCAAACUUGAAGAGAAGAAUAUUAUCCCCCAUGCUUUUAAUUUUUACCUCCUUCACUAUUCUCCAAGCCGUUUGCAUAGCUGUUUUCAAGCCUUCCCAGUUUAUGCUUCGUGAAAGCAACACCUUCCCUACUAGACAAUUCGCAGCAACUUCUUCUCCCUUAAUCCUCAUUUGCCCCAUGAAUGCUACUAUGCCUGCUUCUUCUUCUUUUAGAACGACAGCCUGACACUUGCGCAAUAAAUCCUCUGUAUCCAUACUUAGCUCUGAAUCCACCUACCCUCUAUUAUCCGCAAAUAAAAGCUAAAAGAAGGAGUCAAUCACCCAAAUUCCUUCAAGAAGUACUAUGGAAAAUUGUAAAAGAACACCCAACUAGUGAGCGAAUGAAAAAGCCAAAAUAGGCUUCAGUCUCCUUUCAUUCUAGUACCUUUCAGAGAAAAAGUACUAUAAAAGAAAGAGUAUAUGUGUCAUUGUUAUUCUGUACAUGUGUGGUGUUAAUCGAAUACAAUUAGGUUUAGUUUUACUCUUUUAUAGUUUUAGAUUAAAUAUUUAUUUUAGAUACGAACCUUGACCAAUUCAAAUCAAUUCUACUAACUGAUUUUUAAUCCAAAAUAAUAUAUAUAUUUAGUUUUCAUCAAACGGCUGAGAAAUGGGCCAAGCCCGUAUGCACACGUGUGAAGACCUGUUUUAUGUUUUGUCAAUUUGGAGUAGUGCAAGUAUUUUGAAAUUAACUGAAGGGAAAGCUAAGUGCGUAUUCAAACAUGCUGGUGAUGAAUUGCUCCAUGAUAAUUCGUUUUCCAAUUUAUGAGACGAAAGGAUGGUUUUGAGUUUGAUACCACAAUGCCUCGUCUUUCUUUUAUCCUUGUGAUUUUUGAGAAUUGCAGUCUCAAUUGGAAUGAGAGAGGAAGUGUAUGUGAAACGUAUAGGUAUAGAGCUUGGCCUUACGCCAAUACAAUUUUAUUGAGAUAACCUAUAUUGGCUUUUACAUAAACACAGUACAUGUAUAAAAAUUCAGAAAACAAGAUUAAAUCUGAGAGAAUGCUUUAUCAAUCUAAUGCUUUUUCUUGGUAACAUAAGAAGAGGUGUCGAGAAAGGGAUAAUCCGUGUAACCAACAACAGGAUCGGAAACAUAGAAUGUUUCUCUGUUGUACUUAUUGAGGGGGGCAUUGAACUCAAAUCUCCUGGGUAAAUCUGGAUUAGCCAAGAACAAGCGACCAUAAACAACAAGAUCUGCACGGCCUUCAGCAAUAGCUUUGUUUCCAUCUUCCCUGUCAUAACCCCCAGCGACAAGAAAAGUACCCUUGAAAGCCUUUCUCAUGGGCAGCAAACUGUGAGGACAUUCAGAUUUUUCUCCAACUGUUUUCAUCCUCGGAUCAACCAUGUGACAAUAGAGGAUACCAUAUUUGUUCAAGGAUUCUGCCAUGUAAAGACCUAAAGCUUCUGGGUUAGAGUCUCCUGAUUCCAUAUAGUUUGCAAACGGAGAUAGUCUUAUCCCAACCCUAUCUGCCCCUAUUUCAUUGGAAACAGCUUCAACUAUUUCUAAAGCAAAACGGCAACGGUUCUCUAAGGAUCCUCCAUACUGGUCUGUUCGAUCAUUCACUUGAUCCUUCAUAAAUUGGUCAAUUAGGUAGCCAUGUGCACCGUGGAGCUCAAUGCCAUCGAAACCUAUACAGCAUAAGACAAAGUUAGAAACCAAAAACCUGUACAGCAUGAACACUCCAUUUAUCUAACUCUUCUCAUAUAACUGAAAGCUCUGAGGCUCGCAUUGUGCGGACAGACAGACGGAGGGUCUAGCUUUCAUUUUAAGAACAAGAAAAAGUAUUUAAGCAUUUACUAGGUUGGCUCUCAAAGUUAAGGUUUAAGUUUUCAAAUUCUUUAUUCAAUAUGAUAAAUACAACUAUGGGACAAUAAGCAUAAUUGUAAAGAAACUUAAUUGUUUUCACAUAAACCUUACAGUACAAUAAAACAACAUUAUUUACAAGCCACAAAAGCCUAGUAAAAAUCUAUUAAUGCAUUUAUGUUUAGUUUCCCUUUCCUUCUGAUAGCCAUGCAUGGAAUGGAAGAAUCUCACUAUUCUUUUAUACUAUUUUCCUUAAUCUCAAGAAAAGUAGACCAUUGAAAUAUCACCCAUCCUGUGGCGACCUUAAAACACUUAUUGCCCACAAUUCAAUUUUUAAUUUCAGAAAAAAGAAUUUACCAGCCUCAAUUGCGUUUCUUGCAGCAAGCCUGAAAUCAUUCACAAUUUGAGGGAUUUCAUCUGUCCUUAGCCGCCUUGGACGAGUGAAUUGUGCAAUAUCAACACCAUUAGCGCGGAUUUGAGGUGUCAAUGGCUUGUCUGUACUGGAAAUUGGAGCUUGACCAUUUGGCUGAUAAUCUGUACAGUUCGAAGACAGGAAAAACCAAUGAAGAUCCAGUUGAAAUGAUUCUCAAAUUUCUAUAAAAUCAGUCAGAUCCAUCACAUGGAGGUUUUAAAAAAACUAUUGAAUGUCAUUUUAUUAACUGAAAAUAAAAUGCAAAAGGAUGGUGCAUCUGUAGGAUGAUCAGUACUCAAUUUGAGCAUUUGAUUAAUCCGAGCUGCUUAUUCUCUCAACACUUGCCUCAUAUUAG
Molecule: long non-coding RNA, 22590 nt
Filed under: Citrus maxima (pomelo)
Lineage: Eukaryota; Viridiplantae; Streptophyta; Magnoliopsida; Sapindales; Rutaceae
Description: long non-coding RNA (CMAX_LNC002432)
Source: RNAcentral